AUUGAACGCUGGCGGCAGGCCUAACACAUGCAAGUCGAACGAGUGGCGGACGGGUGUGUAAUGUCUGGGAAACUGCCUGAUGGAGGGGGAUAACUACUGGAAACUGUCGAUAAUACCGCAUACCAUCGGAUGUGCACAGAUGGGAGUAGCUAGUAGGGGGGGUAAAGGCGCACCUAGGCGACGAUCCCUAGCUGGUCUGAGAGGAUGACCAGCCACACUGGAACUGAGACACGGUCCAGACUCCUACGGGAGGCAGCAGUGGGGAAUAUUGCACAAUGGGCGCAAGCCUGAUGCAGCCAGGCCGCGUGUAUGAAGAAGGCCUUCGGGUUGGAAAGUACUUUCAGCGGGGAGGCGUUACCCGCAGAAGAAGCACCGGCUAACUCCGUGCCAGCAGCCGCGGUAAUAC
Molecule: ribosomal RNA, 406 nt
Filed under: uncultured bacterium
Lineage: Bacteria
Description: partial 16S ribosomal RNA
Rfam family: Bacterial small subunit ribosomal RNA
Source: RNAcentral